This 403-nucleotide ribosomal RNA is filed under the name uncultured microorganism. RNAcentral describes it as "bacterial SSU rRNA". It matches the Rfam family "Archaeal small subunit ribosomal RNA", at positions 330 to 735 of the family's 1478-position model. The record is from RNAcentral.
GUGCAGCAGGCGCGAAACCUUCGCAAUGCGGGAAACCGCGACGAGGGGACUCCCAGUGCCUACGCUCAGCGUAGGCUGUUCCCGAGCCUAGAAAGCUCGGGGAGUAAGGGCUGGGUAAGACGGGUGCCAGCCGCCGCGGUAAUACCCGCAGCCCGAGUGGUGGCCACUAUUAUUGGGCCUAAAGCGUCCGUAGCCGGCCCGGUAAAUGCCUGGGUAAAUCGUGAGGCCUAACCUCACGAAUUCCGGGUAGACUGCCGGGCUAGGGACCGGAGGAGGGAGAGGGUACUCCAGGGGUAGGGGUGAAAUCCUGUAAUCCCUGGAGGACCACCGGUGGCGAAGGCGCUCUCCUAGGACGGGUCCGACGGUGAGGGACGAAAGCCAGGGGAGCGAACCGGAUUAGAUA